This is a non-coding RNA of Notechis scutatus (mainland tiger snake), 505 nucleotides long. NCBI's taxonomy places the organism in Eukaryota, Metazoa, Chordata, Lepidosauria, Squamata, Elapidae. The record is from RefSeq and is a predicted model, not a curated record.
UGUCUGCUUGGUGUCUCCCAGACAGAAUGCGCUACCUUUGGGAAAUGGGCCCACCUUGCCUCUAUUCUCAGCGAACGGGAAAUGGACACCAUAUCUUCUUUUCUACUCACCAACUAUGCAGAGAGAUUUAGAAUCUGGAUUGGAUUGUACAAAAUCAAGGGCGCAAACCCACGAGUGAGAUGGCUAGAUUCAGCCCUGGUGGAUUACCUUCCUUGGACACCCGGUUUCUCUUCCAACACUACAGGGGCUCGGAAUUGUUUUGCACUAUGCAGCCUGGACUAUAAAAGAUGGAAUGACCUGCAUUGUCGACUAAAACAAUCCUAUCUGUGCAAGAUGGCUCUGUACUGAAUGUAGCUGGAAACACCUUGAAGGUUGUAAGUCAGAAUCUCCCUGACUACUACAAGAUCAGCCUGCUGACCCACAGAACAAGCCUGUGCGUCAGGCUUUCUUUUCCAUGUGGUGUCACUAAUCAAUAAACUCUAAUCCAAGUGCAGAUGAUGCUCUG